UUCUCGGAGAUGGAUGAUCCCGCGUUGUAUUAUCUAUUUGGUGGGGCAAUGGCCUCCUAAGGCAACGAUCAUUAGCUGGGCUGACAGGAUGAUCAUCCACCCCGGGACUGCUCAACCGCCCAGACUCCUACGGGAAGCAGCAGUGGGGAAUAUUGGACAAUGGGCGCAAGCCUGAUCCAGCCAUGCCCCGUGAGUGACGAAGGCCCUAGGGUUGUAAAGCUCUUUCAACGGUGAAAAUAAUGACGGUAACCGUAAAAGAAACCCCGGUUAAAUUCUUGCAACCACCCGCGCUAUUACAAAAGGGGCUAGCGUUGUUCGAAAUAUCUGGGCGCAACCCCCACGUAGGCGGAUGUUUUAUUUUGGGGUAAAAUCCCGGGGAUCAACCCUGGAACUGGCUUUUAUACGGGCAUUCCCAAUUCCCAGAGAGGUCAGUGGAAUUCCGAGUGUACAGGUGAAAUUCUUAGAUAUUCGCAGGAACACCAGUGGCGAAGGCGGCUCACUGGCUCGGUACUGACGCUGAGGUGCAAAUAAAUGUGGAGCAAGCAGGAUUAUAUACCUUGAUAG
This 564-nucleotide ribosomal RNA is filed under the name Mesorhizobium sp. Its description in RNAcentral is "bacterial SSU rRNA". It matches the Rfam family "Bacterial small subunit ribosomal RNA", at positions 212 to 793 of the family's 1533-position model. The record is from RNAcentral. Lineage: Bacteria; Pseudomonadati; Pseudomonadota; Alphaproteobacteria; Hyphomicrobiales; Phyllobacteriaceae.